UUAAAUUCUUCGCGUAUAAAACAGUCACAUUUCGUUCUCACAUCUCGAAGCGCUAACAUAACAGAUAUUUACGAGAAAAUCGGAUACUCAGACAUGUAUACUUUUAAUAUCCAUACGCAAUUGAUAUCUUGGAUCUGCAUAGGAUCUGCGAUCUAUUCCAUAUUUUAAUACUCGACUUAGUCCAUGUCUAUACAUAGCAACGAAUCAUGGACUCGCACAUAGGCCGUUAUAAUAAACUUUCUGGUAUACGUGCGGAUGCAAAUUAUGCGCUUGGUAGCGAUCUUAUAUUCCAAACAAUCAAUGUCACGUAGUAUAAUCGCGCGAGAAGAAAACAAUUUUCCGUCUCAUCGCUCGUCAUCAAGCGCGACCUCUCAAGAGUUAAACAUCGCGGAAGAUUGUGGAUCGGGAAGAGGUAAAACAGAGAAAAAAAACGAAGAAAGCGGAUGAGGCGAUAGGUAUUAAAUAAUGACGAGCUCUCGCACUUCACGCAUAUUCCGUUCACGUACACCGGUAUGCUACGCCGUCACCGCCACCGCCGCCGCCGUGCGACACGCAGCAUGCGUGUCCUCGUGGGGCGUGAAACACUUGAAAAUCCCAGUUAUGUAAAACAUAGGAAAACGGCUCUCCGCAUGCAGGACCGUCGCGUCGCGUCGCGUCGCGUCGCGUCGGAACGUUAGGUGGAACGCGUAAUUGAAAGCACUUUAGAGACCCUAGCGGCACGCACAACGAGCUACUCACAUUUGCAUUCAGUGGCGGAGGGAAUGCCUUUUAACCGAAAUGACUGCGUGUGUAUGACAAACGCCGGGGUUUAUGUGCCGGAACGAUGGGAAUAUUUAUUGGCGCGAAUUAAUGUCUCCACUCGGCCAUAUACCGCGUUCGGCGCGCACAUUUAUGCAUAUACGAUAUAUUAAAUACAUAUUUAUCGGGAUGAUUUCGCGAAUGCGCGUUAUGUGACCUAUCGGGAGAAUAAAAAUCCUACUUACAGCAAAAAAUCAUUUGUGCAAAUCGUAGGGCAUGUCUAUUUAUGUGGAUUCAUCGUGCCGUUUAUAUGCAAUUUGACAUUGACUUGUUAUAAGCAAGAGAAUUUCGUUUCGCAGUUGAGUGAUCGAAAAUUUGACACAAAAAUCAU
This is a long non-coding RNA of Acromyrmex echinatior (Panamanian leafcutter ant), 1129 nucleotides long. RefSeq lists it as uncharacterized. The record is from RefSeq and is a predicted model, not a curated record. Lineage: Eukaryota; Metazoa; Arthropoda; Insecta; Hymenoptera; Formicidae.